This 326-nucleotide ribosomal RNA is filed under the name uncultured eukaryote. Its description in RNAcentral is "partial 18S ribosomal RNA". It matches the Rfam family "Eukaryotic small subunit ribosomal RNA", at positions 1470 to 1796 of the family's 1831-position model. The record is from RNAcentral.
CCCUUAGAUGUUCUGGGCCGCACGCGCGCUACAAUGAUGCAGGCAACGAGUGCCGCUCCUUAGCCGAAAGGCUUGGGGAAUCUUGAAAACUGCAUCGUGCUAGGGAUAGAUGAUUGCAAUCGUGCAUCUUGAACGAGGAAUGCCUUGUAAGCGUGAGUCAUCGACUCGCGCUGAAUACGUCCCUGCCCUUUGUACACACCGCCCGUCGCUCCUACCGAUUGGAUGGUCCGGUGAACUGGUCGGACUGCUGUUUGAAAUUGCGGGUGCAGUUGAUUCACGGGAAGUCUAGUAAACCUUAUCAUCUAGAGGAAGGAGAAGUCGUAACA